This is a long non-coding RNA of Oncorhynchus tshawytscha (Chinook salmon), 683 nucleotides long. NCBI's taxonomy places the organism in Eukaryota, Metazoa, Chordata, Actinopteri, Salmoniformes, Salmonidae. The record is from Ensembl.
AGAGAGGAAGAGGAAGGAAGAGGAGGUCAAAGAGAGAGAGGAAGAGGAAGGCAGAGGAGGUCAAAGAGAGAGAGAGAGAGAGGAAGAGGAGGUCAGAGAGAGAGAGGAAGAGGAGGUCAGAGAGAGAGAGAGAGAGGAAGAGGAGGUCAGAGAGAGAGAGAGAGGAAGAGGAGGUCAGAGAGAGAGAGAGAGGAAGAGGAGGUCAAAGAGAGAGAGAGAGAGAGAGAGAGGAAGAGAAAGGCAGAGGAGGUCAAAGAGAGAGAGAGAGGAAGAGAAAGGCAGGAGGUCAAAGAGAGAGGGAGGAAGAGGAGGUCAAAGAGAGAGAGGAAGAGGAAGGAAGAGGAGGUCAAAGAGAGAGAGAGAGAGGAAGAGAAAGGCAGAGGAGGUCAAAGAGAGAGAGAGAGAGAGAGAGGAAGAGAAAGGCAGAGGAGGUAAAAAGAGAGAGAGAGAGAGAGGAAGAGGAGGUCAAAGAGAGAGAGGAAGAGGAAGGAAGAGGAGGUCAAAGAGAGAGAGGAAGAGGAGGUCAAAGAGAGAGAGAGAGGAAGAGGAGGUCAAAGAGAGAGAGGAAGAGGAAGAGGAGGUCAAAGAGAGAGAGGAAGAGGAAGGAAGAGGAGGUCAAAGAGAGAGGAAGAGGAAGGAAGAGGAGGUCAAAGAGAGAGAGGAAGAGGAAGGCAGAGGAGGUC